RNAcentral lists this transfer RNA (74 nucleotides) under Stegodyphus mimosarum. It matches the Rfam family "tRNA". Rfam says of the family: Transfer RNA (tRNA) molecules are approximately 80 nucleotides in length. Their secondary structure includes four short double-helical elements and three loops (D, anti-codon, and T loops). The record is from Rfam by way of RNAcentral. Lineage: Eukaryota; Metazoa; Arthropoda; Arachnida; Araneae; Eresidae.
GCCUUCGUGGUUGUAGUGGUUAGCACGCUCGAUGCGUAACCAAGAGGUCCGUGGUUCGAUUCCCGGCGAAGGCG